AGAUUUGAUAGUAAUAGUAUAUAUAAAACCAUGAACAUUUCUUGGUUUCUACUUUUUUUUUUGUUAUUUUCACCAAGAACGUUUCGUUUGUUUUGUUCUAUCUUUUCGUAUUGUUUUCCUUUUUUUUCCUUUUUACCUGUUCCAUUCAGUUUUUUCCACCACCUUUUUCUAUUCCAUUUCAUUUGUGUUUAUUUCUUUUUUUCCUGUUUUAGUUUUCUAUCUUAUUUUGUUGUGUCUCUUUUUUCUUCAGCAAUCUUUUUUUCUCAGUUGUUUCAUAAAAAAAAAUCUUUUUUUCUCAGUUUUCUUUUUCUUUUCUCUUCACCAUACGACUCCUUUGCUCUCAAUUUGCUUUUCUCUCCAUGGAUGCAAACCUAGUGUCGAUCUACGUUGGCUAUGGAUUGAUGUAAAAGGUGUUGGAGAUCUUGUAGAAAACAUGUUUGGGCGAACCUCUGUGUGAGAUUUGGCGAUCUAGAACUAAGUAGAUUGGAAGAUAUGGGUGGAUUUGUGAUUCAUGAGUCGUGUUCAUAUUGUUCGUGUCUGGCUGACGGACUAGGAGUCUGGCGGAUAGUGUUCUCUAGAACGGUAUGCGAGAGCAGGCGAAACUAUUCGAGGUUCCUGACGACGGCCUGGUGCUCUGCUAAAUGGUCCCCAGGACAAUCUAGGCAUUGUUUUGUCCAGGCUUAGCUUCUAUUGUCACCUUAGGUUAGAGUAGCAUUUGUACUUCACUUGUGGAUGCUCCAUAAUAGUUUUUUCUCACUAUUUUAAUGUUGGCUCCCU
This 777-nucleotide long non-coding RNA is filed under the name Sorghum bicolor (sorghum). RNAcentral's name for it is "long non-coding RNA (SBIC_LNC006047)". The record is from RNAcentral. Lineage: Eukaryota; Viridiplantae; Streptophyta; Magnoliopsida; Poales; Poaceae.